Molecule: ribosomal RNA, 506 nt
Filed under: uncultured bacterium
Lineage: Bacteria
Description: partial 16S ribosomal RNA
Rfam family: Bacterial small subunit ribosomal RNA
Source: RNAcentral
AUUGAACGCUGGCGGCAGGCCUAACACAUGCAAGUCGAGCGGCAGCGGAAAGUAGCUUGCUACUUUGCCGGCGAGCGGCGGACGGGUGAGUAAUGUCUGGGAAACUGCCUGAUGGAGAGGGAUAACUACUGGAAACGGUAGCUAAUACCGCAUAACGUCGCAAGACCAAAGAGGGGGACCUUCGGGCCUCUUGCCAUCAGAUGUGCCCAGAUGGGAUUAGCUAGUAGGUGGGGUAACGGCUCACCUAGGCGACGAUCCCUAGCUGGUCUGAGAGGAUGACCAGCCACACUGGAACUGAGACACGGUCCAGACUCCUACGGGAGGCAGCAGUGGGGAAUAUUGCACAAUGGGCGCAAGCCUGAUGCAGCCAUGCCGCGUGUAUGAAGAAGGCCUUCGGGUUGUAAAGUACUUUCAGCGGGGAGGAAGGCGACAAGGUUAAUAACCUUGUCGAUUGACGUUACCCGCAGAAGAAGCACUGGCUAACUCCGUGCCAGCCGCCGCUGUAA